AUCCCUGUAGCGCAGUGGAUAGCGUGUUGGACUUUUAAUCCACAGGUCCCGGGUUCGAAUCACGUCAGGGUUG
Molecule: transfer RNA, 73 nt
Filed under: Araneus ventricosus
Lineage: Eukaryota; Metazoa; Arthropoda; Arachnida; Araneae; Araneidae
Rfam family: tRNA
About the family: Transfer RNA (tRNA) molecules are approximately 80 nucleotides in length.
Source: Rfam by way of RNAcentral